UACGUAUGGGGCAAGCGUUGUUCGGAUUUACUGGGCGUAAAGGGUGCGUAGGCGGGACGUUAAGUCGGAGGUGAAAUCUUGCAGCUCAACUGCAAAACUGCCUCCGAAACUGAUGUUCUUGAGUACGGGAGAGGUGAACGGAAUUCCUGGUGUAGGGGUGAAAUCUGUAGAUACCAGGAAGAACACCAGCGGCGUAGGCGGUUCACAAUUUCGAUACUGACGCUGAGGCACGAAAGCCAGGGGAG
RNAcentral lists this ribosomal RNA (245 nucleotides) under uncultured bacterium. RNAcentral describes it as "partial 16S ribosomal RNA". It matches the Rfam family "Bacterial small subunit ribosomal RNA", at positions 524 to 768 of the family's 1533-position model. The record is from RNAcentral.